GAUGAACGCUGGCGGCGUGCCUAAUACAUGCAAGUCGAGCGAACAGACGAGGAGCUUGCUUCUCUGACGUUAGCGGCGGACGGGUGAGUAACACGUGGAUAACCUACCUAUAAGACUGGGAUAACUUCGGGAAACCGGAGCUAAUACCGGAUAAUAUAUUGAACCGCAUGGUUCAAUAGUGAAAGACGGUUUUGCUGUCACUUAUAGAUGGAUCCGCGCCGCAUUAGCUAGUUGGUAAGGUAACGGCUUACCAAGGCAACGAUGCGUAGCCGACCUGAGAGGGUGAUCGGCCACACUGGAACUGAGACACGGUCCAGACUCCUACGGGACGCAGCAGUAGGGAAUCUUCCGCAAUGGGCGAAAGCCUGACGGAGCAACGCCGCGUGAGUGAUGAAGGUCUUCGGAUCGUAAAACUCUGUUAUUAGGGAAGAACAAAUGUGUAAGUAACUAUGCACGCCUUGACGGUACCUAAUCAGAAAGCCACGGCUAACUACGUG
RNAcentral lists this ribosomal RNA (497 nucleotides) under uncultured bacterium. RNAcentral's name for it is "partial 16S ribosomal RNA". It matches the Rfam family "Bacterial small subunit ribosomal RNA", at positions 28 to 507 of the family's 1533-position model. The record is from RNAcentral.